This is a long non-coding RNA of Homarus americanus (American lobster), 186 nucleotides long. RefSeq lists it as uncharacterized. The transcript has 3 exons. NCBI's taxonomy places the organism in Eukaryota, Metazoa, Arthropoda, Malacostraca, Decapoda, Nephropidae. The record is from RefSeq and is a predicted model, not a curated record.
UGUAGCAUUUCCUCAGUGACUUCUUCAGGUUCCUCCACCACUUCCUCAGUCUCCACUGGUUUACCAUCUACCAUAAUAAUCUUCUUAAUUAUUCUCCUUCUGAUGAUUCUGUGAGUAGUGGUCACCUCAGGUUCUGUGAUGGUCUCAGUAAUCACUGAGUCAGCUGGCAGUUUUUCAAACAUUUCC